RNAcentral lists this long non-coding RNA (781 nucleotides) under Pan troglodytes (chimpanzee). Its description in RNAcentral is "lncRNA (ENSPTRG00000054335.1)". Lineage: Eukaryota; Metazoa; Chordata; Mammalia; Primates; Hominidae. The record is from RNAcentral.
CCUGAGACUUAUAGAAGAAGCCAAGGAGCUGAGAGCAGCAGAGACAAGAAACAGAGGGAGAGUGAGAAAGUCCAGGGCCAUUCCGCAACUCAAGCAGGAGAAAAACCCAGGAGUGGGGUGGCGUAGGCGGGGCCACCACAAGGAGCCCGUGCAUCAGGGGGCGCAGGCUGUUUCUGGAUCAUUCCACUGGGAAGGGGACAAAACCCAUCUUUUAUGACCCAUGUUCAGUUCUCAGUUGGAGUCAGGUCUUUGGCCUUGAUAGAUUUCAAUAUCCUGUGCAGCUGAUGUCUGACCCACGCAUCAAGAAUACAGCCUUCACACACCUGCCGUGAGAAGCCCUCUAUGACCUUCUGCAGAGGGAGGGAACUGCCUAAGAGCUGCUGAGUGCAGGAAUGCAGGGUGCUAAGAAGUGGGUACCCAGUUUGGGGUUAAAAUAUGUGUAAUAUAUCCAUUUGAAUACCCAUCAAUAAAUAUCAGUCAUGCUCACUUUUGGGUGCUGGGGGUUAUUGGAGAUAUUGAUUCAUUUGUUUUAUGAGUGGUAUUUUCUAAUUUUUCUAUGAUAUAACACUGGUCUAGUAAAGAAAUACAAGUUUUAAAAGCAGUUAUGCACAACACAGUUCCUUUUUUUUUUUGAGAUGGAGUUUGGCUUUUGUCUCCCAGGCUGGAGUGCAAUGGCGUGAUCUCAGCUCACUGCAACCUCUGCCUCCCGGGUUCAAGCAAUUCUCCUGCCUCAGCCUCCCGAGUAGCUGGGAUUACAGGUGCCUGCCACCACACCGGGCUA